RNAcentral lists this ribosomal RNA (434 nucleotides) under uncultured Lachnospiraceae bacterium. RNAcentral's name for it is "partial 16S ribosomal RNA". It matches the Rfam family "Bacterial small subunit ribosomal RNA", at positions 341 to 792 of the family's 1533-position model. The record is from RNAcentral. RNAcentral also lists the same sequence under 1 other name. Lineage: Bacteria; Bacillati; Bacillota; Clostridia; Lachnospirales; Lachnospiraceae.
ACGGAAGGCAGCAGUGGGGAAUAUUGGACAAUGGGGGCAACCCUGAUCCAGCGACGCCGCGUGAGUGAAGAAGUAUUUCGGUAUGUAAAGCUCUAUCAGCAGGGACGAUAAUGACGGUACCUGACUAAGAAGCCCCGGCUAACUACGUGCCAGCAGCCGCGGUAAUACGUAGGGGGCAAGCGUUAUCCGGAUUUACUGGGUGUAAAGGGAGCGUAGGUGGUUUUGUAAGUCAGAAGUGAAAUGCCGGGGCUCAACCCCGGAGCUGCUUUUGAAACUGCAGAACUAGAGUGCAGGAGAGGUAAGUGGAAUUCCUAGUGUAGCGGUGAAAUGCGUAGAUAUUAGGAGGAACACCAGUGGCGAAGGCGGCUUACUGGACUGUAACUGACACUGAGGCUCGAAAGCGUGGGGAGCAAACAGGAUUAGAUACCCUGGUA